This 74-nucleotide transfer RNA is filed under the name Fidelibacterota bacterium. RNAcentral's name for it is "tRNA-Asp". It matches the Rfam family "tRNA". Rfam says of the family: Transfer RNA (tRNA) molecules are approximately 80 nucleotides in length. Their secondary structure includes four short double-helical elements and three loops (D, anti-codon, and T loops). Further hydrogen bonds mediate the characteristic L-shaped molecular structure. tRNAs have two regions of fundamental functional importance: the anti-codon, which is responsible for specific mRNA codon recognition, and the 3' end, to which the tRNAs corresponding amino acid is attached (by aminoacyl-tRNA synthetases). tRNAs cope with the degeneracy of the genetic code in two manners: having more than one tRNA (with a specific anti-codon) for a particular amino acid; and 'wobble' base-pairing, i.e. permitting non-standard base-pairing at the 3rd anti-codon position. Lineage: Bacteria; Pseudomonadati; Fidelibacterota. The record is from RNAcentral.
GGGGUGGUAGUUCAACUGGUUAGAGCACCGGCCUGUCACGCCGGAAGUUGCGAGUUCGAUCCUCGUCCAUCCCG